GACGAACGCUGGCGGCGUGCUUAACACAUGCAAGUCGAACGGAAAGGCCCUGCUUUUGUGGGGUGCUCGAGUGGCGAACGGGUGAGUAACACGUGAGUAACCUGCCCUUGACUUUGGGAUAACUUCAGGAAACUGGGGCUAAUACCGGAUAGGAGCUCCUGCCGCAUGGUGGGGGUUGGAAAGUUUCGGCGGUUGGGGAUGGACUCGCGGCUUAUCAGCUUGUUGGUGGGGUAGUGGCUUACCAAGGCUUUGACGGGUAGCCGGCCUGAGAGGGUGACCGGACACAUUGGGACUGAGAUGCGGCCCAGACUCCUACGGGAGGCAGCAGUGGGGAAUAUUGCACAAUGGGCGGAAGCCUGAUGCAGCAACGCCGCGUGCGGGAUGACGGCCUUCGGGUUGUAAACCGCUGUCGCCUGUGACGAAGCGUGAGUGACGGUAAUGGGUAAAGAAGCACCGGCUAACUACGUG
Molecule: ribosomal RNA, 468 nt
Filed under: uncultured bacterium
Lineage: Bacteria
Description: partial 16S ribosomal RNA
Rfam family: Bacterial small subunit ribosomal RNA
Source: RNAcentral